This 301-nucleotide ribosomal RNA is filed under the name uncultured bacterium. RNAcentral's name for it is "partial 16S ribosomal RNA". It matches the Rfam family "Bacterial small subunit ribosomal RNA", at positions 509 to 807 of the family's 1533-position model. The record is from RNAcentral.
CAGCCGCCGCGGUAAUACGUAGGGUGCGAGCGUUAAUCGGAAUUACUGGGCGUAAAGCGUGCGCAGGCGGUUGUGUAAGACAGGUGUGAAAUCCCCGGGCUUAACCUGGGAACUGCGCUUGUGACUGCACAGCUAGAGUAUGGCAGAGGGGGGUGGAAUUCCACGUGUAGCAGUGAAAUGCGUAGAGAUGUGGAGGAACACCGAUGGCGAAGGCAGCCCCCUGGGCCAAUACUGACGCUCAUGCACGAAAGCGUGGGGAGCGAACAGGAUUAGAUACCCCCGUAGUCCCUGUCUCUUAUAC